CUGUUGAAUAAAAUUCUAGGUAGAAUUACGAUAAUGACGGUCUGCCUAUGCUUGACCAAAUUACGUGCCAGCAGUCGCGGUAAUACGUAGAAGACUAGUGUUAUUCAUCUUUAAUAGGUUUAAAGGGUACCUAGACGGUAAAUCAAGCCGGACUAAUGUACUAGAGUUACUUGUGAGGGGGAAGUACUGCUGGUGUAGAGAUGAAAUUCUUUCAUACCGGCACAGGUAUAGGCGAAAGCAUCCCCUUAUGUGAUAACUGACGUUGAGAAGGCUUUGUGUAGCGAACAGGAUUAGAUACCCCAGUAGUCGAAGCAGAAAAUGAUGAGUGUCAUAGAUUAGAUCUAUAAAUGAAAGUGUAAGCACUCCACCUCAAGAGUAAUUUGGCAACAUUGGAACUGAAAUCAUUAGACCGUUUCUGAAACCAGUAGUGAAGUAUGUUGUUUAAUUUGAUUGCCCGCAAAAAACCUUACCACAAUUUGAACAAGCGUUGCACGGCUGUCUUCAGUUAAUGUCGUGAGACUUUGGUUAGUUCCAUUUAAUUAACGUAAACCCUUACUUUAUUUACAGGGACUAAGACAAGUC
This 582-nucleotide ribosomal RNA is filed under the name Lecidea pullata. RNAcentral describes it as "SSU rRNA". It matches the Rfam family "Bacterial small subunit ribosomal RNA", at positions 440 to 1191 of the family's 1533-position model. Lineage: Eukaryota; Fungi; Ascomycota; Lecanoromycetes; Lecideales; Lecideaceae. The record is from RNAcentral.